CACGGGGUAUAAUCCAUGAAGCGUCGAGCAACAACUGAGAAUCAGGAGAAAGGCGAGGUUCAAUGAUGGAGUGAAAAUACUAGAGAAAACGAAGAAAAGGUAAAAGGAGAGCGUUGUGGAAUAAUAUGGGUAUAAUUACUCCCUUUUUCCGCGUUUAAAAAAUCGACUACGGAUUAUUUACUUGCACCACUGAUUAGAAACGCUUUCUUUUGAACACCGAAAUAAACCUUCUUGACUAGCCUUCAAAA
Schizosaccharomyces pombe (fission yeast) is the source of this 248-nucleotide non-coding RNA. The record is from the annotation of a GenBank genome assembly. Lineage: Eukaryota; Fungi; Ascomycota; Schizosaccharomycetes; Schizosaccharomycetales; Schizosaccharomycetaceae.